This is a small nuclear RNA of Otolemur garnettii (small-eared galago), 157 nucleotides long. Its record names the gene U1. It matches the Rfam family "U1 spliceosomal RNA". Rfam says of the family: U1 is a small nuclear RNA (snRNA) component of the spliceosome (involved in pre-mRNA splicing). Its 5' end forms complementary base pairs with the 5' splice junction, thus defining the 5' donor site of an intron. There are significant differences in sequence and secondary structure between metazoan and yeast U1 snRNAs, the latter being much longer (568 nucleotides as compared to 164 nucleotides in human). The record is from Ensembl. NCBI's taxonomy places the organism in Eukaryota, Metazoa, Chordata, Mammalia, Primates, Galagidae.
AUACUUACCUGGCAGGGAGACACCAUGAUCACCAAGGUUCCCAAUGCCAGGCCUAUCCAUUGCACUCUGCCAAGUGCUGACUCUUGCAAUCUCUCAAUGUGGGAUACUCAACUGCCUGAUUCGUGGUAGUGGGGGACUGUGUUCACACUUUUCCCUG